GAGGGCGACAACAUGGUGAACUAUGUAAUUAAAGUGCUCGUUAUGGUUAAGGGCCUAACCUUUGUCGAGAAUGAAGUUCUUAAGCAUAUGCAAGUGUCCAAUUUUAUACAGUCUUCCACCUAUAUGGAGGAUAGUAAUUAUAACACUCCGAUUGAUGUAAAAUUCCUUAGUUUAAGGGGACCUAUCCAUGCAAUUGGCAUUAUAACAAAAACAUAAGAACAAAGAAAAAAUGAGUGAGCUUAUGUUU
RNAcentral lists this long non-coding RNA (247 nucleotides) under Amborella trichopoda. RNAcentral's name for it is "long non-coding RNA (ATRI_LNC003675)". Lineage: Eukaryota; Viridiplantae; Streptophyta; Magnoliopsida; Amborellales; Amborellaceae. The record is from RNAcentral.